AGAUGGUGAGAGUGGCGCACGGGUGCGUAACGCGUGAGCAACCUACCUCUAUCAGGGGGAUAGCCUCUCGAAAGAGAGAUUAACACCGCAUAACAUCAACAGUUCGCAUGUUCGGUUGAUUAAAUAUUUAUAGGAUAGAGAUGGGCUCGCGUGACAUUAGCUAGUUGGUAGGGUAACGGCUUACCAAGGCGACGAUGUCUAGGGGCUCUGAGAGGAGAAUCCCCCACACUGGUACUGAGACACGGACCAGACUCCUACGGGAGGCAGCAGUAAGGAAUAUUGGUCAAUGGGCGGAAGCCUGAACCAGCCAUGCCGCGUGCAGGAUGACUGCCCUAUGGGUUGUAAACUGCUUUUGUCCAGGAAUAAACCCAGAUACGUGUAUCUGGCUGAAUGUACUGGAAGAAUAAGGAUCGGCUAACUCCGUGCCAGCAGCCGCGGUAAUACGGAGGAUCCGAGCGUUAUCCGGAUUUAUUGGGUUUAAAGGGUGCGUAGGCGGCCAAUUAAGUCAGGGGUGAAAUACGGUGGCUCAACCAUCGCAGUGCCUUUGAUACUGAUGGGCUUGAAUCCAUUUGAAGUGGGCGGAAUAAGACAAGUAGCGGUGAAAUGCAUAGAUAUGUCUUAGAACUCCGAUUGCGAAGGCAGCUCACUAAGCUGGUAUUGACGCUGAUGCACGAAAGCGUGGGGAUCGAACAGGAUUAGAUACCCUGGUAGUCCACGCCCUAAACGAUGAUAACUCGAUGUUGGCGAUAGACAGCCAGCGUCCCAGCGAAAGCGUUAAGUUAUCCACCUGGGGAGUACGCCCGCAAGGGUGAAACUCAAAGGAAUUGACGGGGGCCCGCACAAGCGGAGGAGCAUGUGGUUUAAUUCGAUGAUACGCGAGGAACCUUACCCG
Molecule: ribosomal RNA, 892 nt
Filed under: feces metagenome
Description: bacterial SSU rRNA
Rfam family: Bacterial small subunit ribosomal RNA
Source: RNAcentral